Molecule: non-coding RNA, 88 nt
Organism: Gymnopus androsaceus JB14
Lineage: Eukaryota; Fungi; Basidiomycota; Agaricomycetes; Agaricales; Omphalotaceae
Source: the annotation of a GenBank genome assembly
GCCUUCUUAGCUCAGAGGUAGAGCGUUCCACUCGUACGUCAAUCGGCGUUUGAUGGAAAGGUCGCUAGUUCAAGUCUGGUAGGAGGCA